Molecule: long non-coding RNA, 552 nt
Filed under: Capra hircus (goat)
Lineage: Eukaryota; Metazoa; Chordata; Mammalia; Artiodactyla; Bovidae
Description: lncRNA (ENSCHIG00010023903.1)
Source: RNAcentral
AUGGCUCAAGCCCAUCCUCGGUUCAAAGUGCAUUCAGUAGUGCACGGUCCUCCCGCCCUAGAACACUGGUGGUUUAAGACCAUACCACCGCCCGGAUCUUUCUGGCCAAUCAGGAGCCACGUCCUCCGGCGCCCUCCUUUCCUGCCCCGCCCCCUCCCGUCUCCAUGGGAACGCUCUGAGUGUCCAGUCCGAGGCCUGAGGCUUUGGUUUUGGUCAAGCAGGGUGGCAGACGUUGUUUGGACGGAGUAUUUGAGUUGGUCCCUGUUCCUCUCCAGAGGCUCGGUAGGUGACGCGGACUCUCAGGAGCACAUAACCAGAAGCAGACAAGGACGAGAAGAGCUGUGGCAGAAGAGAGAGGGCCAGGUGUCGAGAAGUCGCUCAGGCUUAGAAAUCUAGGACUCGCCUGUAGGGACCUGUGAUCCGCAAGGGAGGGCCAGAGUGGCAAAGACUAAUGCCCCCAUUUUACAGGUGAGGAAAGUGAGGUCCUAGGAGGUCUAGAAGUUUUGUCUUUUUCAGAGUUCUACAAGUAGUUGGUGGGAUUAUGAUCACGUC